UUUUGUGUUGACUGCUACCUUUCCCCCCUGAUAUUUGAGGUUAUUGUGAGAAUAGCAAUCUGCCAGGAUUGCAGCUUUUGGCGCACUUUUAGAGCUUUAUUAUUUUAACUAGUUCCUGGAAGUAUUUCCAUGUUUGUAGUAACCACAGUGACCAGAUUAACAGACACCAUGGGUGAGAGAUGAGAGACAUGUAUACAGUGAGAACACUUAGUUCCAUAAACUUUGUGUUGCUUCGUGCUUCGUGCCUCACGUUUCAUGAUUCAUGUUGAUACACGAUUCCUAUGUAAUUAGAGACGAAGAGUAAACUAUGGAUAACAGCUUUUGUUAGUUAUACACAUUAGGACAUAAAACGAACCUCGACCGGCUUGGUCUUAUACUCCCUAUAACUAUUAUAUGACCUUAAUAAAGGUCAGGGUAAAGGCCAGACCAUUAUAUGUAAGGUUUAUGUUUUUGAAAAUACUAUAACCACAUAUUGGUAUCACUGUGAUCUUUUUUUGAAAUGCUCAAAUGUAUUUUAUAUUUACUGUAACCAUGUCACCGUGCUCGCAUUGUUUUGAGCUUCAUUUUGCACGCGCAUGUUUUUCGAAUAAUAAUCAUAAUGCGCAGUUAAAUAUAACCGAUUAAA
Molecule: long non-coding RNA, 625 nt
Organism: Mya arenaria
Lineage: Eukaryota; Metazoa; Mollusca; Bivalvia; Myida; Myidae
Exons: 3
Source: RefSeq, a predicted model, not a curated record